GGCCUAUUACUUUAAUGGUAAAAGAUAGUGUUUCGGCCACUCUAAUACAAGUUCAAGUCUUGUAUAGGUCU
Molecule: transfer RNA, 71 nt
Filed under: Capsicum annuum
Lineage: Eukaryota; Viridiplantae; Streptophyta; Magnoliopsida; Solanales; Solanaceae
Also listed under: 1 other name
Rfam family: tRNA
About the family: Transfer RNA (tRNA) molecules are approximately 80 nucleotides in length. Their secondary structure includes four short double-helical elements and three loops (D, anti-codon, and T loops). Further hydrogen bonds mediate the characteristic L-shaped molecular structure. tRNAs have two regions of fundamental functional importance: the anti-codon, which is responsible for specific mRNA codon recognition, and the 3' end, to which the tRNAs corresponding amino acid is attached (by aminoacyl-tRNA synthetases). tRNAs cope with the degeneracy of the genetic code in two manners: having more than one tRNA (with a specific anti-codon) for a particular amino acid; and 'wobble' base-pairing, i.e. permitting non-standard base-pairing at the 3rd anti-codon position.
Source: Rfam by way of RNAcentral